GGAAGGCUCACAGUUGCCACUUGAAAGGAACCAAGAAGAGACUGGGGCAGCAUGAAUGUGCUGGAAGAUUAGAGGCUGCUGAUGCUGAAGGAAGGAGAAACGAGGAGGAAGUGUCCCUGUGGACAAGUCAUCUCCCUUCAUUUAAGCCAGGCCAGUAGUCCGGGAGACAUUCUGAAUGAUGCAUUAUCCUAGGCACCAGAAAGUAUCUAACAUUCUCAUGGACAGCAGGGAAAAAUGAGCACAUGAGACAGGGGAAGAUUCCAGCACCUGUGAACAUGUUUGUGCAGGUUUCCAGUCAGUACAUGGAUAUCCCUCAAGCCUUUGAAUCCAGUCUCCUGUGUUGUGAUUGGACCGUUUGUCAUUAGGUUUCCAGUGGCAGAGUAAUGCUGUGGGAGAACUGGCUACGAUGGCCGCAGGAGGUGAAUUAAGUAUUGUUGUGUUUUUAGUAGAACCACUAAAGGAAGAUCUGCAGGCAAGUUGGAUGAGUAUAAGAGCCAAAGAUUGACAAGACUUCCUCAGAUGCUCCUACUGACCAGUGGGGGCACUUCUACAGCUCCCCGAAUAUGUUCUCCCUGCAACCCCCACCACUUUUUAAUUAAAUGGCCAGAACUGCCUUUUUGUAUCAAAACUUAUUUUAGUCUAUCAAUCAAAGGCUUCUAUAGCCCACCUCAUGGCAAAGGAUAUCAGAGAGGUAAAAGAUAAUUGUUUUGACAUAUUUAUUAUCACAACUAGCGACUCUUUCUGCAUUCACAUUGGCUGGUAUGCAGAAAAGGGUGCUUUACAGGAUUCUUGGAAAUGUGUAGUGGAUGCUGGCUCUAGGGGAGGCAGAAUAGAGUGUGGGUUCUGCCAUGGGUCACAUCCGGGUUUUAAUUCUGCCUCUGCCACAUGACCUUGAGCACACUGGAAAACCCUAUUAGAUGUGCAAGAAGGCUUCCCCAUCUGUAAAGGUGGGUGACUUAGCAACUUUAGCAAUGCUUAAGUCACCCGGUUGUUGUGAGUAAUACAUAAGUUAAUGUAUGCUAACUUUCUAGAAAGUUUCCUGGCACAAAGUUGUAUUUAAUAAAUGAUUUUUAAA
Molecule: long non-coding RNA, 1075 nt
Filed under: Homo sapiens (human)
Lineage: Eukaryota; Metazoa; Chordata; Mammalia; Primates; Hominidae
Description: HSALNT0399931
Source: RNAcentral